UAUGGGUGUGAUGGAUCCGUAUGGAUAUGUUGGAUAUUCCCGUUACCAGGCAAGCUACUGUGACUCUUUUGCUGUUCAUAUUAUUAUAUUAUUGUCUUUUUCCUUGGAUGACUUGAGUCACAAAAAUAAUUAUCAACAGUGUAAAGGUUGGAAUAAUUGAAGUUUCUUGGCAGUUUGUCGCCAACAGAAAAUUCAAUUGCGUGUUCUUUGAAUAUUCUACAUACGCCCCUUCAUC
Molecule: unclassified non-coding RNA, 235 nt
Filed under: Hevea brasiliensis (rubber tree)
Lineage: Eukaryota; Viridiplantae; Streptophyta; Magnoliopsida; Malpighiales; Euphorbiaceae
Source: RNAcentral